GUGUUGUGAAACAAAGAACAUCAGUGCAUACAAGUAGGCCUUCAUCUUCUACCAGUGAGAACUACCAUUUACACCAUUCAAUGUCGACUAGGUUAACCUUCUGAGGUCAGAGGUUAUGAAGGCCUUAUUAUUAUAGCCUUAUUAUUAAAGCAUGCUACUGUUUGGUUUCAGCACGAUCUCAUCUAUAUAGCCAGACUUCUUCCUUCCCUGAGAUACUAAUCCAACACAGUGGAUGCACUAUGAUAAAAUCCCUUCAAAUAAAUAUUCUCUCAAAAUGAAAAACAUGGAACUCUUAAAACAGUUACGAGUCCAUGAAGAUUGAUCUCAGCGGUGUAGAAAUGAUCAUAUGAAAAUAUGUUGGAAUAAACUGGAGGGGACUUCCUCUGUGGUCUCUGGUAAAACGUAUAAAACGUUGUAAUUUUUCUUUUACAAAGAAUGUAAAGACGGUAACAUGUUCUCUGUCUUUGAUAAGACCUUAUUGGCAGCACAAGGAAAAGUGCUGUGGCUCUUCACUGCUGCGUUGGCCCAGAUGAUGUGUUGAUCCUGACAGACAAAGGCCUCCAUUGAACUUGGUUACAUUCGACUGUAGCACUAAUGCUGCUCUCACUCACUCCAAGAACAACAUAAAGGUUAUGAUCCUCAGGUUGAUCAUUCACGAGUUCAUGCUAACUAAUGGCUAAUAAUAUAAGCCAUAUCCCAAAAACAAGAACACAAUAUUAAUCAAUAGGAAGUAUACUCCAUUCAGGCAGAGCCUUCCUGGACCUCUCUCUGGUGAGGUCACCAUCACACCUGCCUGCAUGGCGCUGGGUGUGGGCGGGGCUUGUUGAGUCCUCUCUGUAUAAAUAGCCGUGUCCCUUUGGGGGAAGCAUUAGCAGCCCUGCUGAGCUCCCACCAACACCUCUGGAACCAUGCUCAGCUCUCUCCUGCGCUCAGCGCUCGUGUUGGCGGCAGUCUGCUGUCUUACAUAUGCAGAGAACAUAACCAUCACUUGUGGGAAAAACAAACAGCGACUGAGUUGUGGUAAGAAAACCCGUUAUUAGUGUUGGGAAGGAUACUUUUAAAACGUAUCCAGUUGCAGAAUACAGAAUACAUGCCCAAAAAUGUAAAAUGUAGCAUAUUCCGUUACAUCACGCAUUCUGAGUAUAGUAUUGUAAAUACUUGGAUUACUUCCACAUUGAAUUGCAUUUUUUAAGUGUAGGAAUGCGAAAUCAAAUCAAUCUCCUUACUGCAUUUAUAUAGCGCUUUUUCUAACCAUUGGCCACCCAAAGCGCUGUACAAUAAUGCCUCAC
Molecule: long non-coding RNA, 1289 nt
Organism: Gadus macrocephalus (Pacific cod)
Lineage: Eukaryota; Metazoa; Chordata; Actinopteri; Gadiformes; Gadidae
Exons: 3
Source: RefSeq, a predicted model, not a curated record